Molecule: ribosomal RNA, 308 nt
Filed under: uncultured bacterium
Lineage: Bacteria
Description: bacterial SSU rRNA
Rfam family: Bacterial small subunit ribosomal RNA
Source: RNAcentral
CGUGCCAGCAGCCGCGGUAAUACGUAGGGUGCGAGCGUUAAUCGGAAUUACUGGGCGUAAAGCGUGCGCAGGCGGUUAUGUAAGACAGAUGUGAAAUCCCCGGGCUCAACCUGGGAACUGCAUUUGUGACUGCAUGGCUAGAGUACGGUAGAGGGGGAUGGAAUUCCGCGUGUAGCAGUGAAAUGCGUAGAUAUGCGGAGGAACACCGAUGGCGAAGGCAAUCCCCUGGACCUGUACUGACGCUCAUGCACGAAAGCGUGGGGAGCAAACAGGAUUAGAUACCCUGGUAGUCCACGCCGUAAACGAUG